GUGGGGGAUAUUGCACAAUGGGGGAAACCCUGAUGCAGCGACGCCGCGUGAGGGAAGACGGUUUUCGGAUUGUAAACCUCUGUCUUUGGGGACGAAGAUGACGGUACCCAAGGAGGAAGCUCCGGCUAACUACGUGCCAGCAGCCGCGGUAAUACGUAGGGAGCAAGCGUUGUCCGGAAUUACUGGGUGUAAAGGGAGCGUAGGCGGGAUAGUAAGUUGAUUGUUAAAACUAUUGGCUCAACUGAUAGAUGCGAUCAAAACUGCAAUUCUUGAGUGAAGUAGAGGCAGGCGGAAUUCCUAGUGUAGCGGUGAAAUGCGUAGAUAUUAGGAGGAACACCAGUGGCGAAGGCGGCCUGCUGGGCUUUAACUGACGCUGAGGCUCGAAAGUGUGGGUAGCAAACAGG
RNAcentral lists this ribosomal RNA (404 nucleotides) under uncultured bacterium. RNAcentral's name for it is "bacterial SSU rRNA". It matches the Rfam family "Bacterial small subunit ribosomal RNA", at positions 354 to 776 of the family's 1533-position model. The record is from RNAcentral.